Molecule: long non-coding RNA, 696 nt
Organism: Alosa alosa (allis shad)
Lineage: Eukaryota; Metazoa; Chordata; Actinopteri; Clupeiformes; Clupeidae
Exons: 3
Source: RefSeq, a predicted model, not a curated record
AACGGAGACCCAUCUUCUGCCAAUACAGCAAUGACAGGGCCAUCUCUGAGGUAACAGAUCAGGAUUUGUUGUUAUUGAGACAGCUGACAGGGACACCUAUGAGCUACAUAGCAAGCAAACCCCAGAUAGAUGUAGUGAUAGGUCAGGAGAAGUACCCUCUUGGAAGUGGCUUGAGCUACCAGCUCCCACUAUUGGACAACACUUCACAAGCAUCCUCCCGAUCAAACUCCAGUGACUUCCCAGCAUUCCCUUUGCCACCACAGCCAGGCUCUUUCUGUACUGUCCUUAAUAAAGUGCAAAUGGAAAGGUUCAGUACCAUAGUAGUCUCAAAGGCUGAGGCAGAGGCACUUGAGAAAAACACCAGACAGCAGAGUAGCAACAACAUCUGGCAUCAUGUCCGCUCUAUUCGCCUAACCUCAUCGUCCUUCAAAAGAAUAAUCUCUAGAAGAGCUGACUUUGAACAACUUGCCAUCAUCAUGCAGAGGAAGAAGAGCAUCAUGACAAAAGCCAUGAAGAGGCCUGGAGCUUGAGCCAGCCGCUGCAGCCCAGUAUGCGGUCAUCACUGGUAAUGAUGUGCAAGUGUGUGGGUUUGUCAUCAACCCUAAUGCCCCCUAUUUGGGUACAUCCCCUGACAGAAGGGUUCAGAGUGGUGAGAGUGAGACCUAUGGACUACUCGAAAUUAAAUGUCUAAUGAAA